CAAUAGCGUAUAUUAAAGUUGUUGCAGUUAAAAAGCUCGUAGUUGAAUUUCGGGUCCCCGCGCUCGGCGCUUCAUUGUGCCGUCGUGGUGUCCCUCCUCGCCGUAAGGCGUCCUUUACUGUGAAAAAAUUAGAGUGUUCAAAGCAGGCAAUCGCUUGAAUACAUUAGCAUGGAAUAAUAAGAUAGGAUCUUGUCUAUUUUGUUGGUUGCGGACAACGAUAAUGAUUAAUAGGGAUAGUUGGGGGUGUCCGUAUUGAGCUGUCAGAGGUGAAAUUCUUGGAUUUGCUCAAGACGAACUACUGCGAAAGCAUUUGCCAAGGAUGUUUNCAUUA
Molecule: ribosomal RNA, 331 nt
Filed under: uncultured eukaryote
Lineage: Eukaryota
Description: partial 18S ribosomal RNA
Rfam family: Eukaryotic small subunit ribosomal RNA
Source: RNAcentral